UACAGAGGGUGCAAGCGUUGUUCGGAAUUACUGGGCGUAAAGCGCGUGUAGGCGGUUUGAUAAGUUGGGUGUGAAAUCCCUCGGCUCAACCGAGGAACUGCAUUCAAAACUGUCAGACUAGAGUAUCGGAGGGGGUGGCGGAAUUCCCGGUGUAGAGGUGAAAUUCGUAGAUAUCGGGAGGAACACCUGUGGCGAAGGCGGCCACCUGGAAGAUUACUGACGCUGAGACGCGAAAGCGUGGGGAGCAAACAGG
This 253-nucleotide ribosomal RNA is filed under the name uncultured bacterium. Its description in RNAcentral is "partial 16S ribosomal RNA". It matches the Rfam family "Bacterial small subunit ribosomal RNA", at positions 524 to 776 of the family's 1533-position model. The record is from RNAcentral.